Molecule: ribosomal RNA, 974 nt
Filed under: Salmonella enterica subsp. enterica serovar Derby
Lineage: Bacteria; Pseudomonadati; Pseudomonadota; Gammaproteobacteria; Enterobacterales; Enterobacteriaceae
Also listed under: 3 other names
Description: bacterial SSU rRNA
Rfam family: Bacterial small subunit ribosomal RNA
Source: RNAcentral
AAGAGUUUGAUCAUGGCUCAGAUUGAACGCUGGCGGCAGGCCUAACACAUGCAAGUCGAACGGUAACAGGAAGCAGCUUGCUGCUUUGCUGACGAGUGGCGGACGGGUGAGUAAUGUCUGGGAAACUGCCUGAUGGAGGGGGAUAACUACUGGAAACGGUGGCUAAUACCGCAUAACGUCGCAAGACCAAAGAGGGGGACCUUCGGGCCUCUUGCCAUCAGAUGUGCCCAGAUGGGAUUAGCUUGUUGGUGAGGUAACGGCUCACCAAGGCGACGAUCCCUAGCUGGUCUGAGAGGAUGACCAGCCACACUGGAACUGAGACACGGUCCAGACUCCUACGGGAGGCAGCAGUGGGGAAUAUUGCACAAUGGGCGCAAGCCUGAUGCAGCCAUGCCGCGUGUAUGAAGAAGGCCUUCGGGUUGUAAAGUACUUUCAGCGGGGAGGAAGGUGUUGUGGUUAAUAACCACAGCAAUUGACGUUACCCGCAGAAGAAGCACCGGCUAACUCCGUGCCAGCAGCCGCGGUAAUACGGAGGGUGCAAGCGUUAAUCGGAAUUACUGGGCGUAAAGCGCACGCAGGCGGUCUGUCAAGUCGGAUGUGAAAUCCCCGGGCUCAACCUGGGAACUGCAUUCGAAACUGGCAGGCUUGAGUCUUGUAGAGGGGGGUAGAAUUCCAGGUGUAGCGGUGAAAUGCGUAGAGAUCUGGAGGAAUACCGGUGGCGAAGGCGGCCCCCUGGACAAAGACUGACGCUCAGGUGCGAAAGCGUGGGGAGCAAACAGGAUUAGAUACCCUGGUAGUCCACGCCGUAAACGAUGUCUACUUGGAGGUUGUGCCCUUGAGGCGUGGCUUCCGGAGCUAACGCGUUAAGUAGACCGCCUGGGGAGUACGGCCGCAAGGUUAAAACUCAAAUGAAUUGACGGGGGCCCGCACAAGCGGUGGAGCAUGUGGUUUAAUUCGAUGCAACGCGAAGAACC